UACGUAGGGGGCGAGCGUUGUCCGGAUUUAUUGGGCGUAAAGAGCGUGUAGGCGGUUUGGUAAGUCUGCCGUGAAAACCCGGGGCUCAACCCCGGGCGUGCGGUGGAUACUGCCAGGCUAGAGGGUGGUAGAGGCGAGUGGAAUUCCCGGUGUAGCGGUGAAAUGCGCAGAUAUCGGGAGGAACACCAGUAGCGAAGGCGGCUCGCUGGGCCAUUCCUGACGCUGAGACGCGAAAGCUAGGGGAGCGAACAGG
RNAcentral lists this ribosomal RNA (253 nucleotides) under uncultured prokaryote. RNAcentral's name for it is "partial 16S ribosomal RNA". It matches the Rfam family "Bacterial small subunit ribosomal RNA", at positions 524 to 776 of the family's 1533-position model. The record is from RNAcentral.